Ruminococcus sp. 37_24 is the source of this 89-nucleotide non-coding RNA. The record is from Rfam. Lineage: Bacteria; Bacillati; Bacillota; Clostridia; Eubacteriales; Oscillospiraceae.
GUACAGGUGGCAGAGUCAGGUUUAAUGCGGAUGCCUUGAAAGCAUUUGAUGGAUAAAACCAUCCGUGGGUUCAAAUCCUACCCUGUACG